Molecule: long non-coding RNA, 1750 nt
Organism: Solea senegalensis (Senegalese sole)
Lineage: Eukaryota; Metazoa; Chordata; Actinopteri; Pleuronectiformes; Soleidae
Exons: 5
Source: RefSeq, a predicted model, not a curated record
UGUGUGUGUGUGUGCUCUCAGGGAAAGUCGAUGUGUGUCGGUGUCCUGUGACCCACAUCAGACUGAAAAUUGUGUCAUUAUUGACGACUGUCAAGUUUCGUGAGUAUGUGACCAUCCCUUGGUUGUCAGGACCAAUGGUUGUAAUUUUUGCAAACAUCCCACUUUGAAAACAUUGCCAUGGCAACACCUUUUUCUGAUAGCUCAUGAUAUUCAACACCAAUAAUAGACAGUGUUUUUUGUGAUGGCUCCUAUUCUGAGAUGGCUCUGAUACUGAUUGGAUCUUGUACAGAGCAGUAAUAACAGUUUCGUGUUUUGUGGCGAGACGGUAGAACUUUGCUACCCCUUCGCACAUAUACCGUGUAACAUUCAGUGAAGUUUCCAGUAACUUUCAAUCCUUGUCAUGUCCAGAGUGACCUUAGUAAAUUCCAAGUUUGCACCAAAGCUCCAGGAGGAGUGCGUUCAAAUAAAACACGCGCCUAAUCGCCAAUUUUGAAAGGCGCUUUUUCAAAAUUGAAUAUAUCCACAUUGACGUCUUCAGCGUGGGACCAUAAUCAGUCAUAAACAGUUUGAUUUAGUGGAGUUAUAAGUUUUAGGACCUCAAACGUACGAUUCCUCUGAUAAAGUAAUACAAAUAAUAAUAAUUCAAACAGUUAUAACAAUAACUCUUUCAGUUACAGUUUUGAAGUGAAUGUUCCAUACAAAAUUCAGUCUGCUCAAAACUACAAUAUGACAACAUUCAAACUGUGUUUUAUAAACCGUGAAUUCACAAUUUUGGUGGCCCAACAUGAGGUUUUGAUCGUUUCACCUAAAGAAAACCCUUCAAAACCAUAUUCAUGGCUUUAAGGCAUGGAGGAAAAUCAGAUUUAUUAUUGACGUGGGAGCUUUUUGUUGCAGAUGGUGGCGAAGAGUUUCACAUAAAUCAGCAAUGAAGAAUGAAGAAAUGGCACAGAGAGACUUGUGAAAGAGUGUUUACAUGCUCUCUGCCGCGCGGCGGCCACUUCAUCCUGACACACUGAAUCAUUAAAGGCCACGACAUAACAGCGAUAACUGGGAAGACGUGUAAAAUAAUAAAUUCAUUAACAGAUUCUGAAGCAUAUUUGAAUGCAGCAUCGCGACUCGGCCGCGGGAAACGUGCUGCUCACUGCUAAUGAAGCACACGGAUUUGGAGAAGAUGGAAAGAAAGAAAAGAAAAGGGAUGGAAGUGUGGACAGAUCAAAGGAACGUGAGCGGCCCGGGUCAGCAGAGGAGUGGGCGGAGCCAACAGGGAUGGAUGCAGGCGAGGUCGGAGAGGAGGCGACGGACAGACAAGGCCCAUUAACUCAACGAGAGCAGCGGACCAGAGAAAAGGCAUGUUUUAAUUGCUGAUGUGUAAAAAUUUAAUUGCUGUCAAAUUGGUGCAAGGUGAUUGUGUCCAACCCUGGAUUUUACACUGUGGGACACCUGGAGAAAACAGCAGCACAAUGUCCUCAACUGUCGGAUAAAACACGAAAAAAUAACAAAGACGGAACCAAGAAUUAAUGAAAACAGUUCACAUGGGACUGUUUUAUUUAAGGGAUUUCCUAAUAAUUGCUGCCGUCGGCCGGAAUCUGCUGCGUCUUUCACUUUCACCAAAGUCAUUUAUUUAUAUGUUUAUUUCGGUCAUGUCAGUUAGAUAAUAUAGACAUAAUUACAUAAUAUAGACAUAAUUUCAUCAUGCUUUCAUAGAGACAUUAAGUGAUUUUAGCUCGUAGCUCGUCUAUUGCUGCCUCGU